This 571-nucleotide ribosomal RNA is filed under the name uncultured bacterium. Its description in RNAcentral is "bacterial SSU rRNA". It matches the Rfam family "Bacterial small subunit ribosomal RNA", at positions 825 to 1397 of the family's 1533-position model. The record is from RNAcentral.
GGAUCUAAUUAAGGAUUUGGUAAGUAGCUAACGCGUGAAGUUGACCGCCUGGGGAGUACGGUCGCAAGAUUAAAACUCAAAGGAAUUGACGGGGACCCGCACAGCGGUGGAUUAUGUGGAUUAAUUCGAUGCAACGCGAAAAACCUUACCUACCCUUGACAUGCCUGGAAUCUAAUGGAGACAUAAGAGUGCCCGUAAGGGAACCGGGACACAGGUGCUGCAUGGCGUCGUCAGCUCGUGUCGUGAGAUGUUGGGUUAAGUCCCGCAACGAGCGCAACCCUUGUCGUUAAUUGCUAUCAUUUUAAUGAGCACUUUAACGAGACUGCCGGUGACAAACCGGAGGAAGGUGGGGAUGACGUCAAGUCCUCAUGGCCCUUAUGGGUAGGGCUUCACACGUAAUACAAUGGCGCGUACAGAGGGUUGCCAAUCCGCGAGGAGGAGCCAAUCUCAGAAAGCGCGUCGUAGUCCGGAUCGGAGUCUGCAACUCGACUCCGUGAAGUCGGAAUCGCUAGUAAUCGCGGAUCAGCAUGCCGCGGUGAAUACGUUCCCGGGUCUUGUACACACCGCCCGU